This 413-nucleotide ribosomal RNA is filed under the name uncultured bacterium. RNAcentral describes it as "bacterial SSU rRNA". It matches the Rfam family "Bacterial small subunit ribosomal RNA", at positions 355 to 767 of the family's 1533-position model. The record is from RNAcentral.
UAAGGAAUAUUGCUCAAUGGGAGAAAUCCUGAAGCAGCAACGCCGCGUGGAGGAUGAAGGGUCUAUGACUUGUAAACUCCUGUAAAGAAGGAAAAAAUUCCCAUUUGAUGGGAGAUGAUGGUACUUCUGGAGUAAGCCCCGGCUAACUACGUGCCAGCAGCCGCGGUAAUACGUAGGGAGCAAGCGUUGUUCGGAUUUACUGGGCGUAAAGGGCGCGUAGGCGGCGCGGUAAGUCACUUGUGAAAUCUCUGAGCUUAACUCAGAACGGCCAAGUGAUACUGCUGUGCUAGAGUGCGGAAGAGGCAACCGGAAUUCUUGGUGUAGCGGUGAAAUGCGUAGAUAUCAAGAGGAACACCGGAGGCGAAGGCGGGUUGCUGGGCCGACACUGACGCUGAUGCGCGAAAGCCAGGGGA